Molecule: ribosomal RNA, 506 nt
Filed under: uncultured Glomeromycotina
Lineage: Eukaryota; Fungi; Glomeromycota
Description: SSU rRNA
Rfam family: Eukaryotic small subunit ribosomal RNA
Source: RNAcentral
AGCAGCCGCGGUAAUUCCAGCUCCAAUAGCGUAUAUUAAAGUUGUUGCAGUUAAAAAGCUCGUAGUUGAAUUUCGGGAUCAAAUUGUCGGUCGUGCUUCGGUACGCACUGGCAUUAUUGGUUUCUACCUUCUGAAGAACCGCGAUGUCAUUAAUUUGGUGUCGUGGGGAAUCAGGACUGUUACUUUGAAAAAAUUAGAGUGUUUAAAGCAGGCGCACGCUUGAAUACAUUAGCAUGGAAUAAUGAAAUAGGACGUUUGAUUCUAUUUUGUUGGUUUCUAGGAUCGACGUAAUGAUUAAUAGGGAUAGUUGGGGGCAUUAGUAUUCAAUUGUCAGAGGUGAAAUUCUUGGAUUUAUUGAAGACUAACUACUGCGAAAGCAUUUGCCAAGGAUGUUUUCAUUAAUCAAGAACGAAAGUUAGGGGAUCGAAGACGAUCAGAUACCGUCGUAGUCUUAACCAUAAACUAUGCCGACUAGGGAUCGGAUGAUGUUAAUUUUUUAAUGACUC